GAUGAAGAACGUAGCGAAAUGCGAUAAGUAAUGUGAAUUGCAGAAUUCAGUGAAUCAUCGAAUCUUUGAACGCACAUUGCGCCCAUUAGUAUUCUAGUGGGCAUGCCUGUUCGAGCGUCAUUAAGUCCACUUAAGCCCUGCUUAGUGUUGGGAGACUGCUCCAGCGGUGCUACCCUGUAGCUACCCUGCAGCUCCUCAAAGACAGCGGCGGAGUUGUGGUAUCCUCUGAGCUUAGUAACUUGUUCUAGCUUUCGAGUACACCACUUCCCCUGCCGUAAAACCCUUAAUUUUUAAUGGUUGACCUCGGAUCAGGUAGGAAUACCCGCUGAACUUAAGCAUAUCAAUAAGCGGAGUA
This 355-nucleotide unclassified non-coding RNA is filed under the name soil metagenome. RNAcentral's name for it is "partial contains 5.8S ribosomal RNA, internal transcribed spacer 2, and large subunit ribosomal RNA". The stretch from base 1 to 120 matches the Rfam family "5.8S ribosomal RNA", at positions 35 to 154 of the family's 154-position model. The record is from RNAcentral.